RNAcentral lists this ribosomal RNA (396 nucleotides) under uncultured bacterium. Its description in RNAcentral is "partial 16S ribosomal RNA". It matches the Rfam family "Bacterial small subunit ribosomal RNA", at positions 523 to 918 of the family's 1533-position model. The record is from RNAcentral.
AUACGUAGGGAGCGAGCGUUGUCCGGAAUUACUGGGUGUAAAGGGAGCGUAGGCGGGAGUGCAAGUCAGAUGUGAAAUACAUGGGCUCAGCCCAUGGGCUGCAUUUGAAACUGCAUUUCUUGAGUGAAGUAGAGGUAAGCGGAAUUCCUGGUGUAGCGGUGAAAUGCGUAGAUAUCAGGAGGAACACCGGUGGCGAAGGCGGCUUACUGGGCUUUUACUGACGCUGAGGCUCGAAAGCGUGGGGAGCAAACAGGAUUAGAUACCCUGGUAGUCCACGCUGUAAACGAUGAUUACUAGGUGUGGGGGGACUGACCCCUUCCGUGCCGCAGUUAACACAAUAAGUAAUCCACCUGGGGAGUACGGCCGCAAGGUUGAAACUCAAAUGAAUUGACGGGG